Molecule: non-coding RNA, 102 nt
Organism: Sturnus vulgaris (Common starling)
Lineage: Eukaryota; Metazoa; Chordata; Aves; Passeriformes; Sturnidae
Source: RefSeq, a predicted model, not a curated record
ACACGUUCCAGUGUGCUACAGCCCGGGGGUCACCAGGUCGCCUAAGGAGGGGUGAACCGGCCCAGGUCGGAGACGGAGCAGGUCAAAGCUCCCGUGCCGCUC